RNA transcript from Ictalurus punctatus (channel catfish), 9646 nucleotides. It is a transcript of the gene named leucine rich repeat containing 17, with no coding region annotated. NCBI's taxonomy places the organism in Eukaryota, Metazoa, Chordata, Actinopteri, Siluriformes, Ictaluridae. The transcript is spliced from 2 exons. The record is from RefSeq and is a predicted model, not a curated record.
CCAGUGGUGGCUUGGCGGGUAAGACUCUGCGAAGAAAAGAAUUUCACUGUGCUAUGACCAAUAAAGACUCGUUAUCAUUAUCAUUAUGAAUCAGCCACCAACACUUUCCUCUCUUGACUGUUUUCAUUUACUGACUUGAUCUGCCCUCUAUCUUGCCUGCCUCUUGGCUGUCAGAUGUGUUAAGCAGUAAUGAGAGAGAAUUAAGAACAGCUGAUAGAAAGUAGAGGAAAUCCAAAUUCGAGGCUCUUCUCUCAAUACCAUUCUCAUCUAUCAAAGCUGAUGUGACAGCUGCUAAGACAUCCCUUCUACAAGGGAAAGCUGGAAUAUUCUUCACAAGCUUCUUUUAUAUGAUCAACACAAGCUUCUUUUAUAUCUCUGCACUUCUACUAUCUACCUCCUUCUAUAUCCUCUGUUGAUGACUAUUGAUGACUAUGGCUUCUUUUUUAACACGAAAAUUAGAGCAAACUGCCAGUUCUUUACUACUACCCUGAUACCUACAGUUCUCAAUAUAUUUUCUUAUCACAAUUUUCUGCUCAUUCUACAAAAGAGAACCUGUGGAUUAUGUUGUCCAGCAAUCUCACCAUCUGCCUGCUCGAAUCCAUCUCCUUCCACAAUGCUUCAGACUAUAUCAGAAAGCCUCCUCCCCUUCAACUCUAUAACAUGUGGACAUAACAUGGACUGACUAGAUAGAAAGGGUUAUUCCUAUCUUGAAGAAGGAACCUACAAGAUGCUAAACAGUCUUGCUUCAAAAUGGUACACUAAACAGAAACUGACUUUGUAGCUUCAUGCUUCUAGAUCAGCCAAACUGUCAUCAGUCCUCAUCCUCCUAGACCAAUCAUCAGACACAGUCAAUUACAAGACUCUCUGAUCAUAAGUUUUGGAAUUUGUGGCACAGUGUGGUGGUGGCUUGCUCCUUACCUAAAGAGAUGGUCAUAACAGAUGACAUGGAGGGGAUCCACAUCUACCCACAUCUGUUCCUGUCCUCUUCUGUUCUCUCUCCUACUCUGUGAGAUCAUAUCUUCACAUCGGCUGAUGAGACUCAACUCACCACCUCCUUUCAUCACUCAUGUUUUGCUCAGAUCUCAACAUGUCUGGCAGACAUCAUGGAUAGUAGUUCAACAGCUGAAACUAAAUCUCAGCAAGACUGAGCUGCUGUAUGUUUCUGGUGUCCUGACACCACCCAGAUGGUGUCAGAACAUGAGAAAUACCCCUUCAGAUGAUUCAGAAUGCCGCAGCAUGCCUCGUCUUCAACCAACCCAAAAGGAUCCAUUUCACACCCCUCCUCAUCUCCCUCCACUGGCUUCCUGCAGCUGCCCGUGUCAAAUUCAAGGCCUUGAUGCUCACGUACAAGACCUUGUCUGGAACAGCACCCCCCUACCUCAACACUCUCCUUAAGGCUUACAUUCCCUUACGCAAUCUUCGAUCGGUUAAUGACCAAUGCUUAGUAGUGCCUACUCAAGGUCCCUUUCCAGAACCUUCAAACUAACUGUCCCUCAGUGGUGGAAUGAACUUCCAACUUCAAUACAGACAGCAGAAUCUUUCACUAUCUUCAAAAAACAGCUAAAGACCCAUAUCUUCCGUGAGCAUGUAACUAACCCCUAAAAUGCCAAUCCCACAUUAUCUAAAAAAAAAAAAAAAACAAAUAAAAACUUACUCUGGCUCUUACAACUCUACUCUGCGCACUUUCAAGUUUCUAGAACUCAAUUAUAAAUCUGGCAUGGUAGCACUACUUGUAUUGUUCUCCACUUGAUGUAUCGCUUUGCUUGUAUUUCCUCAUUUCUAUGUCACUUUGGAUAAAAGCGCCUGCUAAAUGAAUAAAUGUAAUGUAAUGUAAUGUAAGUUCUCUGGAUUUACAACUAAAUGUUGUAAACAUACAGUCAGGUCCAUAAGUAUUUGGACAAUGACACAUUUUUUGUCCUUUUGCUUCUAUACGCCACCACAAUGGAUUUGAAAUGAAGCAAUCAAGAUGUGAUUGAAGUGGAGACUUUCCACUUUAAUUGCAGGGGUUACACGAAAAUAUUACAUUAACCGUUUAGGAAUAGAUUCCCUCUGAUAAGUAGUUUCAUGGCAGGUAUGUUUCCUCAUGAUUUUGUGACAAAUUAAGGAGAUAAAAGGUCUGAAGUUGAUUCCAAACUUUGAAUUUGAUCAAGGGAACUCUCAAUAUGCGUCAAAAAGAGCUGAUGAUGGAAGUGAAGGAGGCCAUUGUUAGACUACAAAAACAAAACAGAUCUAUCAGUGGGAUAGCAGAAAUUUUACGAGUGGUCAAAUCAACAACUUGGUACCUUCUUAAAAAGAAGGACUGCACUGGCAACCUCAGCAGCACCAAAAGGCAUGGAAGGCCAUAGAAGACUAAACUAAAGUAGAUGACCACAGAAUUGUUUCCUUGUUGAAGAAAAACCCCUUCACAACCAAGUCAAGAACAGUCUGGAGGAGGUAGGUGUAAAAUUGUCAAAGUCUACAAUCAAGAGAUGGGUUCAUGAAUGUAAAUACCACUGGUAACACUCAAGAACAGAAAGGUCAGAUUAGACUUUGCUAGAAAUAUCUUUAAAAAAAAUAAACAAAAUUCCAGCCCAGUUCUAGAACAAGAUUCUUUGGACAGAUGAAACAAAGAAUAACUUGUACCAGAAUAAUGGUAACAAAGGAGUAUGGAGAAGGAAAGGAAGGGUUCAUGAUCCAAAGCAUACCACAUCAUUUAUCAAACAUAUGGAAGAAGUGUUAUGGCAUGAACAUUUAUGGCUGCCAGUGGAACUGGAUCACUGGUGUUUAUUGAGGACGUGAUUGCUGAAAGAAGUAGCAGGAUGAAUUCUGAAGCAUAUAGAGCGAUACUUUCUGCUCAGAUUCAGUCAAAUGUUGCAAAACUGAUAGGACUGAGCUUCAUAGUACAGAUGGAUAAUGACCCAAAACAUACUGCGAAAGCAACCCAAGGGGUUCUUCAGGCAAAGAAAUGAAAUGUUCUUAAAUGUCUGAUGACCUCGACCCCACUGAGCAUGUUUUUCACUUGCUGAAGACAAAUGUGGCCGCAGUAAAGACCUGGCAAAGCACCUCAAGGGAGGAAACUCAGCAUUUGAUGAUGUCCAUGGGUUCCAGACUUCAGGCAAAGGAUUUCCACCCAAGUAUGAAAAAUAAUCUUAAUAUUUAUGAUUUGUUUGUCCAAUUACUUUUUGUAAAAAAUGACUGUAAUUCCUAAACAGUUAAUGCAAUUGUAACGCUUAUGCUGGGUCAAGAAUGAGGAAGUGGGAGGCAGGCUUGGAAUAACUCAAAAAUGGCUUUCUUUGCAACUUUACUUUCACUUUUCAGCGUUUUAAAUCAUAAACACACACACGGCUCUGCUGGUUGGCUCUCUCUAGAGGUACUCAUCUCUCUCCUUUUUAUCUUCGCCUCCACUCACUGCAACACAGAAAAUUCAUUAGAACAAUUCCCCACAGGUAUUCCUUACCACUCACCUUCUCUGGAUCCAACCCUCCAUUCACAAGCCGGUGCUCAAGCCUGCCCCGCUUCCACAUACCCCCCACCACACGACUCCGGCCGCCAACCCAACCAAAGCCAAUGGAACAACCUCCUUCCAUGAUUUGAGGUGGUUAAGAUGGUAAACCUGCCGUGCCCUGCUUCUGUCCAUUCGCUUUACCUCAUAGUCGACAUUCCCGACCCGCUGUGUGACCUCAAAGUAUCCUUGCCACUUAGUGCAUAAUUUAGAGCUUGACAAGGAUAGCAAGUACAGCAUUUUAUCUCCCGGUGCAAUCUCCCCUAGACGAGUGCCCCUGUUAUACAGCCGGAAUUGUUCUUGUACCUGGUGCAAAUUCUGCUGUGUUAUGUGGCAUAAGUUGUGGCAUUUUGCUCUCAGUUCAAGAACAUAAUGAGUUUCAUUUUUACUUUUAGAAGGUUCCUCCUCCCAAUUGACAUCAAGGACGCCGCAAGGCUUAGCGCCCAUACAAUAAUUAGAACAGGCAAAACCCCAUGGAGGCUUGUAGGACCUCUCAUACUGUAAAUAACAGGGGCUCUAGACACUUAUCCAUAUUCAACGCAUUGACUUACUAAUCAUGUUUUUAAGCAUUUGAUUAGAACGUUUGACCAGCCCAUAUGUCUGUGGAUGGUAAGCGCUGGUGCAAAUAGAUUUAAUUCCCAACAAUUUGUAUAGCUCGCGUAGUGUCUGUGGCAUGAAAGAUGUGCCCUGAUCAGUUAGGAUCUCUUUUGGAAUUCCAACUCAGUGUCUCCACCACUCUCCUUAUUGAGAUGUUACAAAAGGGGACUGCUUCCAAGUAUCGCGUUGUGCAGUCAACUAGAACUAGCACAAAGUGAUGCCCUCCUGCAGUCUGAUCUAAUGGACUGUUGAGGUCAAUACCGAUUCUUUUGAAGGAGACCUCAAUUAAUAGUAGGGUGUGCAAAGGCACUUUUGGGGUGGCUGGUGGAUUCACCAGUAAACAUUCGUGACAUGCUGUGCACCACCUGCAAACAAUGCCCAGAAUACCCAGCCAAUGGAAGUGGGCCAUAAGCCGGUUCAGUUUUUUGUCCUGUCCUAAAUGCCUCAUCAGUGAGUCAUGGUGAACCGCCUGAAAAAUAUACCUUCCUAAUGGCCCUUUAGGUUUUUUUCCUGGGUUUGUGUCCUGCAUCAAUAACUAUAACCUAUACUUAAUAAUCGAAAAGAAGGGAUGAGAGAAUGCAACAUUAGGCUGAAUUUGCAUCAAUUACUCUCACUGGCUCAAAGCCAUGCCUUAGGGUCUUGUCGUGUGACUGCUCCAAGUAGGGGAAUCCCCGCCAAGAGGAGAGGAGCGGGACCCACCUCACUCUCUGUGCCCCCCCAGACGUGGAGCUGACAUUGAUGGCCCCAGCACCACCUCCCCAGCCAAUGCUUUACACAUUCCACACCGUCUCUCACUACUGCAGGACAGAUCCACAAACAUUUUUUUCACUAAUGCUUGAAAUCCUGGCCAAUUCAUCACCAGGUUUUGUGGAUGGGAGAGGCGAGGACUAGAUGUUGCUUCCACUAUAUGUUUUUGCCCUCAGAAUAUGAUGAUGACCGGCACCAGUGUACAUUUGUGAACAUCGCCAUGUACACACCUCACCAUCACCAGCAUCACCAAUGUAUGAUAUGUACCCCCUUUAACACUCACCAGUAUAUGGUACAUCCUGGCUUGAUCCAGGGCAGCCUACAGCAUGUCGUGGAUCCUGACCAAUGCCCCUACCUCCAUCACAUGGCAUUGGUUCUGGAAAUGCCUAGGCUCCCUGCAAUGCCAGCACACCAGCCCAGGCUUUACUCCCACACCUGCAGCCCCAGAUUCAGAAGAGACAGACACAAUGGAGGGGUAAAGCACAGGUUCGGGCAGCUGGUUUUGGGGGUAAUCGGCCCCCAGUUUUGUCAUGCAGGCUUGGGGGAAGGGCAAGAUGGAGGUGAAGAGGUGUAUGAGAGAGAGUGAGAGAGAGAGAGAGAGAGAGAGAAAGAGAGAGAAGAGAGGGGCUCACCUGCCCCCAGAUAUGCUGCUAAGUGUUCCUCUGCCAGCUGGACUGCCUCGACUAAUGACGCUGAACAGUGGCACUGGACCCAGUCUGCUGUCCCCUCCAGCAGUUGGACUGAACUGCUCCAGGACUUACUAUUACUAUGACUACUUCUUUGCCGGCAUGUACCUUUGCCAGCAGCCAUCUUAGGCAGUUUACCCGGAGCAGCUGGGUAAAUGCAAAUGGACAGCCUCGCUCUACGGCUGACCCAUUCCAAUAUCACCCACUUCAGGUCCAGGUACUCCAGCAGUUUCACCAUGGGGAGCUGGGCUUCCCCAGACAGGAGCAGCAGUAAGCGGGCCAUUUGAACAACUCAAUCAACACUUCCAGGUCAUCCUGUGAGCUCAUCUUUGUAAGGGUGAUGUGGACUGGGCCUAUGGUGGCAGGUGGGGCUGCUGCUGCAGUACCUGCAUGCUGGACCAUGCUCUGGAGCACCUGCUUUAUGUUUCAUGGUUUUGAUCUGGUUCUUGUCCUCGGUAAUUGAGUCUUGUGUUAGUCUAGUUUAUCCUGUUUGCUGAUCGCCAAACUAUUGGCCAGUUUUGAUCACGGUAUUGUUUCAUGAUUUGGAUUUGUCUGCCUAUAUCUCCUAUAAUAAAACUCUUAUCUGCAUUUGCAUCCGUCCCCAACUCCAUUAUGUGACAGAAUACUUCGCCGCAACAUGGAAGCAGCAGGAGAGCAAGGAGAGUGUCACGCCAGAGUAGAUGGGGAUGACUGGCCAGCCAUCAUGUCAGGCCAGUUUCCCCAAUGGACUGACAUAGACCUCCCGGAUCCAAAUUAUGGAUUGUGUGACUACCUGAGGCGGUUCCUAUUCCACUGUCAAAUGUACUUUUCAAGUAUGGUGAACCCCAAGCCUGACAAAGGGCAGUGGCUCGGGUUCCUUGUGUCCCGGCUUUAUGGCCCAGCCUAUCAAUGGGAACAGCAUCUGGCCAGUACAGGGUCCAGUGCCCUCACCCAAGUAACUCAGUUUGCAGAACUAUUUUUAAACAAGUUUGGGAAUCCAGGGCAGAACUGCAACCUGGAUGAACUGUUGAGAGGAGUCAGUGUAGCGGUCCAGCAUGAUCUGCCUUUCCACAUUUACUAUGAGUGGAUCGACAGUAUGGCCUCCACAGCUCAGCUUCAGCCCCCAGCCGACAUGGCAAUGGUGGAGGUGACACAGACCUGCAAGACCGAGGGCUGCUAUAAAGAAGCCCAGCUACAAUGUCCCACCUGUAGUAAACAUGGGAUACCUGGAUCACAUUUCUACUCUCAGGACUGUUUCAAGGGCAGCUGGUGUGCCCAAAAACAGCUCCACAAGAAAGCAAGAGCAGAGCUCCCGCCUGAGAUCCACAAGGUGGUCUCACCUGCCGAGCUCCACCUGGAGGUCAACGUGGAGACCUCCUCGCCAGAGUUCCAGCAUGAGACCUAUGAGAUGGUCUCACCGGCUGAACACUCAUCUGAGGUCAAGGUGGCAACCUCAGCUCCAAAGCCCCAGGUGGAGGUCAACAGAGUGACCUCCUCCCCAGAGCUCCAACCUGAGACCCACAAGGUGGUCUCACCUGCCGAGCUCCAGCUGGAGGUCAAUGUGGCAACCUCCUGUCCAGAGUUCCAACCUCAGAACCACAAGGUGGUCACACUUGCUGAACUCCAGUUGGAGGUCAAGGUGACCUCUCAAGCCAAGUUCCUGUCCAAGGUCAAAGACACAGCCUCCCAAGACACGUUCCUGUCUGAGGUCAACAAGACAACCUCUCAAGCCAGGUUCCUAUCUGAAAUCAACGAUGUGACCUCCCACACCACGUUCCAGUCUGAGACCGACAUCACCACCGACCAAGUUAUGCUCACGCCAGAGUCUGUUGUCACAACCAAAUAGGUUCUGCUCACGCCUGAAACCGACAACACGACCAACGAAGUUAUGCUCACACCAGAGUCUGUUAACACAACCAACUAAGUUCUCCUCACACCAGAAACCGACGUCACCACCAUCCGGGUUCUGCUUACGUCUGAAGUCGACGUCACAACCAACCAAGUUAUGCUCACGCCAGAGUCUGUUGAUACGACCAACCAAGUUCUACUUAUGCCUGAACCCAACAUCACAACCAACCAAGUUAUGCUCAUGCCAGAGUCUGUUAACACGACUAACCAAGUUUUCCUCAUGCCUGAAACUGACGUUACGACCAACCAGGUUCUCCUCAUGCCUGAAGUCGACGUCACGACCAACCAAAUUAUGCUCACACCAGAGUCUGUUGAUACUACCAACCAAGUUCUCCUUAGGCCUGAAACGGAUGUCACAACCAACCAGGUUAUGCUCACACCAGAGUCUGUUGACAUGACCAACCAAGAUCUCCUAAUGUCUGAAACCGAUGUCACGACCUUCCAGGUUCUCCUCAUGCCUGAAACCGACGUCAUGACCAACCAGGUUAUGCUCUCGCUAGAGUCAGUUGACACGGCCAACCAAGUUUUCCUUAUGCCCAAAACCGAUGUCACAACCAAAAAGGUUAUGCCCACACCAGAGUCUGUUGACAUGACCAACCAAGAUCUCUUCAUGCCUGAAACCGAUGUCACGACCAACCAGGUUCUCCUCAUGCCUGAAACUGAUAUCAUGACCAACCAGGUUCUGCUCACAGCUGAGGUCAACAUCACAACCACCCAAGUUAUGCUCACGCCAGAGUCAGUUGACAUGGCCAACCAAGUUUUCCUUAUGCCCGAAACCGACGUCACGACCAACUAGGUUCUGCUCACACCUGAAGCCGAUGCCAUGAGCAACCAAGUUCUGCUCACGCCUGAGUCUGCUGACAUAGCCAACCAGGUUCUGCUCACGCCUGAGUCUGUUGACAUGGCCAACCAAGUUCUGCUCAUGUCUGAAGCUGACAACCUGCAGAGAUGAUGGAGGAUGAUGCUCCACCUUCCUGCUCCGCUGAGGACGUCACUCUGCCUUCCUGCUCUGCUGAGAACGUCCCUUCACACUCAAGAAGGGCCAACAAGACGGUCCACCAAGUCAAGCAACUGUCUAAAGCUGACGACACAAUUUCCCAAGCCUGGGUCUUGCCUAAUGACCUCAGCGUACCAGCCCUGGUCUCAUGUCUGCUCCUUGAGGAACCUGUUACUUAUUGGACAAGGCCUGCAUUGGAACCUGAGGGGCUGUGAAGACAUUUUGCCUAGAGGGCCAGGACUGCCGGGGGAGGGAGUGUAUUUUGUGUAUUUACUUUUAUAUCCACUGUAUCUAAGUCCCACUGAGAGAUCUUUGAAGUUUAAUGGUUAACCAUUGUUAUCACACCUCCUCCACAGAUAUAUAAGGUCAAUGGCUUCUAUACAGCAAAGAAUCUGGAGAAUAGCAAAAAUGUACCACAAGAUCAAAUUCCAGCUGGCACAGUUAGAGAUUCUUACAAGGAGGGUUUGGAAACAGAUCACAAAUCCCGCUGAAGGGCAGCUGUUACUUUGCACACGAGGGAAAAGAGGGUGUCCAAUAUUGCUCUUAUUUUAGUCUAAUGCAUAAGAGACACAGAAGUCAAACACACAACAGACUUAAAAGUGCAGAAUCCGUCCAUAUUAAUUUAUGCCACACAUUAUUUGCAUUCAUAUCUGUAACAUUAAAAUAAACAGAUCACUUUGCACAGAAGCUAUAAGAUUUUUUAAAAAAUAAAUAAAUAUUGGAAUUAUACGUUAUUACUCAAAAAUAAAUGGUUUUAAGCUUUUUUUAAUAAUUUUUUUUUCGAUAUGACUCGUCCAUCUGCGAACCCUUCUGUUCUUUAGGUCAUUAACUCAUUGACCCAAUGCACAGGAAAUGGUGUUCUGGAGGCGGUCCUUUUAUAUCACUGUGGAGUAAAAGGUUUAGACUGCCUACACAGAGGAGCUGUGUUGUAAUUUAAAACCUGCUGAAGGCUGCAACUGCCCCAAGCCUUUCACAUACACACACAUACACACUGAGCAGCAGGCUUUGUUCUAGAAUCCGGCUCAACUCUGUGCUCAGAACAGCACACAGCACAGAGAAACCUACACGUUGGACUUACUAAGUGGGUGAAACAUCGACUGUGCUUCCCUGUGAUCAGGGCUGAAUGCUGUACCACCUGAUAUCCCAGAAAAUACUGUGAAAAUGGACCUUGCUUUUAACAACAUAACACAGUUAAGGCCUAAAGAGUUUGUAACCAUCAAAGACUUAAAGCUGUUGAACCUCAGCUGCAAC